This 253-nucleotide ribosomal RNA is filed under the name uncultured bacterium. Its description in RNAcentral is "partial 16S ribosomal RNA". It matches the Rfam family "Bacterial small subunit ribosomal RNA", at positions 524 to 776 of the family's 1533-position model. The record is from RNAcentral.
UACGUAUGGUGCAAGCGUUAUCCGGAAUGACUGGGUGUAAAGGGAGCGUAGACGGUUGUACAAGUCUGAUGUGAAAGCCCACGGCUCAACUGUGGGAGUGCAUUGGAAACUGUAGAACUAGAGUAUCGGAGAGGCAAGUGGAAUUCCUAGUGUAGCGGUGAAAUGCGUAGAUAUUAGGAGGAACACCAGUGGCGAAGGCGGCUUGCUGGACGACAACUGACGUUGAGGCUCGAAAGCGUGGGGAGCAAACAGG